UGGGGAAUAUUGGACAAUGGGCGCAAGCCUGAUCCAGCCAUGCCGCGUGAGUGAUGAAGGCCCUAGGGUUGUAAAGCUCUUUCACCGGUGAAGAUAAUGACGGUAACCGGAGAAGAAGCCCCGGCUAACUUCGUGCCAGCAGCCGCGGUAAUACGAAGGGGGCUAGCGUUGUUCGGAUUUACUGGGCGUAAAGCGCACGUAGGCGGACUUUUAAGUCAGGGGUGAAAUCCCGGGGCUCAACCCCGGAACUGCCUUUGAUACUGGAAGUCUUGAGUAUGGUAGAGGUGAGUGGAAUUCCGAGUGUAGAGGUGAAAUUCGUAGAUAUUCGGAGGAACACCAGUGGCGAAGGCGGCUCACUGGACCAUUACUGACGCUGAGGUGCGAAACGCGUGGGGAGCAAACAGGAUUAGAUACCCUGGUAGUCCACGCCGU
RNAcentral lists this ribosomal RNA (432 nucleotides) under uncultured bacterium. Its description in RNAcentral is "partial 16S ribosomal RNA". It matches the Rfam family "Bacterial small subunit ribosomal RNA", at positions 355 to 803 of the family's 1533-position model. The record is from RNAcentral.